UCCCUUGUGGCUCAGUUGGUAGAGCAUGGUGUUUGCAACGCCAGGGUUGUGGGUUCGAUUCCCACAGGGGAC
RNAcentral lists this transfer RNA (72 nucleotides) under Salmo salar (Atlantic salmon). It matches the Rfam family "tRNA". From Rfam's summary of the family: Transfer RNA (tRNA) molecules are approximately 80 nucleotides in length. Their secondary structure includes four short double-helical elements and three loops (D, anti-codon, and T loops). Lineage: Eukaryota; Metazoa; Chordata; Actinopteri; Salmoniformes; Salmonidae. The record is from Rfam by way of RNAcentral. RNAcentral also lists the same sequence under 1 other name.